GCCCUAGUAACGGCGAGUGAAGCGGCAACAGCUCAAAUUUGAAAUCUGGCUCUCGGGCCCGAGUUGUAAUUUGUAGAGGAUACUUUUGAUGCGGUGCCUUCCGAGUUCCCUGGAACGGGACGCCAUAGAGGGUGAGAGCCCCGUCUGGUUGGAUGCCAAAUCUCUGUAAAGUUCCUUCAACGAGUCGAGUAGUUUGGGAAUGCUGCUCUAAAUGGGAGGUAUAUGUCUUCUAAAGCUAAAUACCGGCCAGAGACCGAUAGCGCACAAGUAGAGUGAUCGAAAGAUGAAAAGCACUUUGAAAAGAGAGUUAAAAAGUACGUGAAAUUGUUGAAAGGGAAGCGUUUAUGACCAGACUUGGGCUUGGUUAAUCAUCUGGGGUUCUCCCCAGUGCACUUUUCCAGUCCAGGCCAGCAUCAGUUUUCCCCGGGGGAUAAAGGCGGCGGGAAUGUGGCUCUCUUCGGGGAGUGUUAUAGCCCACCGUGUAAUACCCUGGGGGGGACUGAGGUUCGCGCAUCUGCAAGGAUGCUGGCGUAAUGGUCAUCAACGACCCGUCUUGACCCAAGGGGACCACCACCA
RNAcentral lists this ribosomal RNA (576 nucleotides) under Fusarium oxysporum f. sp. ciceris. RNAcentral's name for it is "eukaryotic LSU rRNA". It matches the Rfam family "Eukaryotic large subunit ribosomal RNA", at positions 77 to 664 of the family's 3401-position model. The record is from RNAcentral. Lineage: Eukaryota; Fungi; Ascomycota; Sordariomycetes; Hypocreales; Nectriaceae.